UACGUAGGGUGCAAGCGUUAAUCGGAAUUACUGGGCGUAAAGCGUGCGCAGGCGGUUUUGUAAGUCUGUCGUGAAAUCCCCGGGCUCAACCUGGGAAUUGCGAUGGAGACUGCAAGGCUAGAAUCUGGCAGAGGGGGGUAGAAUUCCACGUGUAGCAGUGAAAUGCGUAGAGAUGUGGAGGAACACCGAUGGCGAAGGCAGCCCCCUGGGCUGAGAUUGACGCUCAGGCACGAAAGCGUGGGGAGCAAACAGGG
RNAcentral lists this ribosomal RNA (254 nucleotides) under uncultured bacterium. RNAcentral's name for it is "partial 16S ribosomal RNA". It matches the Rfam family "Bacterial small subunit ribosomal RNA", at positions 524 to 777 of the family's 1533-position model. The record is from RNAcentral.